CUCUCUCACAGGCACAAGACUCGAUCAUCUAAAUUUACCUAUGUAACAAACUCAAUACACAGCAUGCAUAUGGUGAUCAAGCAUAACAUAACGUAUGUAAAGAGUAAAAUAUAAUUUGAAAUUAAUCAAUUAAGCAUCACAAAAGUAAUUUACAGCAAAGGCAUAUCGAAAUCCUUAAAGAAACAUGAUUAGGGCUUCAAUCGAGCCCUAACUAAAGUACUUAGUUACCCAUAAUUUAAAUAGACAGCAAGAACAUACAAAACAGAAAAUAAAAAGAGGAAGAAGAUAGCUCUUUGAUGAUGUGUUGGUCAGCCAAAGUGAUUGGAUGAUGCCUUGACGUUUCUCCUUGCUUCCUACGCCUUUCAGACCUUGGAACCUUG
Molecule: long non-coding RNA, 380 nt
Filed under: Prunus dulcis (almond)
Lineage: Eukaryota; Viridiplantae; Streptophyta; Magnoliopsida; Rosales; Rosaceae
Description: sRNA ncRNA
Source: RNAcentral